GACGAACGCUGGCGGCGUGCUUAACACAUGCAAGUCGAACGGAAAGGCCCUGCUUUUGUGGGGUGCUCGAGUGGCGAACGGGUGAGUAACACGUGAGUAACCUGCCCUUGACUUUGGAAUAACUUCAGGAAACAGGGGCUAAUACCGGAUAGGAGCUCCUGCUGCAUGGUGGGGGUUGGAAAGUUUCGGCGGUUGGGGAUGGACUCGCGGCUUAUCAGCUUGUUGGUGGGGUAGUGGCUUACCAAGGCUUUGACGGGUAGCCGGCCUGAGAGGGUGACCGGCCACAUUGGGACUGAGAUACGGCCCAGACUCCUACGGGAGGCAGCAGUGGGGAAUAUUGCACAAUGGGCGGAAGCCUGAUGCAGCAACGCCGCGUGCGGGAUGACGGCCUUCGGGUUGUAAACCGCUUUCGCCUGUGACGAAGCGUGAGUGACGGUAAUGGGUAAAGAAGCACCGGCUAACUACGUG
RNAcentral lists this ribosomal RNA (468 nucleotides) under uncultured bacterium. RNAcentral describes it as "partial 16S ribosomal RNA". It matches the Rfam family "Bacterial small subunit ribosomal RNA", at positions 28 to 507 of the family's 1533-position model. The record is from RNAcentral.